This 320-nucleotide ribosomal RNA is filed under the name uncultured eukaryote. RNAcentral's name for it is "partial 18S ribosomal RNA". It matches the Rfam family "Eukaryotic small subunit ribosomal RNA", at positions 1470 to 1796 of the family's 1831-position model. The record is from RNAcentral.
CCCUUAGAUGUUCUGGGCCGCACGCGCGCUACACUGACGAAUGCAACGAGCUUAUAACCUUGGCCGAAAGGUCUGGGUAAUCUCCAAAUUUCGUCGUGAUGGGGAUAGAUUAUUGCAAUUAUUAAUCUUCAACGAGGAAUGCCUAGUAAGCGCAAGUCAUCAGCUUGCGUUGAUUACGUCCCUGCCCUUUGUACACACCGCCCGUCGCUUGUACCGAUUGGAUGGUCCGGUGAAAUCUCGGGACGGCGGCUUGGUCGCUUGCGUCCGACUGCUGAAACUUGAUUAAACCAUAUCAUUUAGAGGAAGGUGAAGUCGUAACA